GUGCACCAGUCGCGAAAACUCCGCAAUACGCGAAAGCGUGACGGGGCCAUCCCGAGUGCCGUCCGCUGAGGAUGGCUUUUCCCUAGUGUAGAUAGCUGGGGGAAUAAGGAGGGGCAAGUCUUGUGUCAGCCGCUGCGGUAAUACCAGCUCUUCGAGUGGUAGGGAUGUUUAUUGGGCCUGAAGCAUCCGUAGCUGGCUGUGCAAGUCCUCCGUUAAAUUCAGCGAUUUAAUCGUUGGAUUGCGGGGGAUACUGUUCGGCUAGGGGAUGGGGGAAGCCAACGGUGUUCCCGGGGUAGGGGUGAAAUCCUAUAAUCCCGGGAAGACCACCAGUGGCGAAGGCUGUUGGCUAGAACGCGCCCGACGGUGAGGGAUGAAAGCUGGGGGAGCGAACCGGAUUAGAUACCCCGGUAGUCC
RNAcentral lists this ribosomal RNA (414 nucleotides) under uncultured crenarchaeote. Its description in RNAcentral is "partial 16S ribosomal RNA". It matches the Rfam family "Archaeal small subunit ribosomal RNA", at positions 330 to 747 of the family's 1478-position model. Lineage: Archaea; Thermoproteati; Thermoproteota. The record is from RNAcentral.